RNAcentral lists this ribosomal RNA (253 nucleotides) under uncultured bacterium. RNAcentral describes it as "partial 16S ribosomal RNA". It matches the Rfam family "Bacterial small subunit ribosomal RNA", at positions 524 to 776 of the family's 1533-position model. The record is from RNAcentral.
UACGUAGGGGGCGAGCGUUGUCCGGAGUUACUGGGCGUAAAGGGCAUGCAGGCGGUCGGACGCGUUUCGGGUGACAGCGGGUGGCUUAACUACCCGAGUGGUCGAAAGACGGUUUGACUUGAGGACGCGAGAGGGACACGGAAUUCCGGGUGGAGUGGUGAAAUGCGUAGAGAUCCGGAGGAACACCGAAGGCGAAGGCAGUGUCCUGGCGCGUAACUGACGCUGAGGUGCGAAAGCUGGGGGAGCGAACAGG